UCUCCGUAGGUGAACCUGCGGAGGGAUCAUUACAAAGUUCAUGCCCUACCGGGUAGAUCUCCCACCCUAUGUUAUUAUUACUUUGUUGCUUUGGCGGGCCGUUAGGCUCCGGCCCGACUACCGGCCCCGGCUGGUAAGCGCCCGCCAGAGGACCCAAAACCCUGAAUAUUAGUGUCGUCUGAGUACUAUAUAAUAGUUAAAACUUUCAACAACGGAUCUCUUGGUUCUG
Molecule: unclassified non-coding RNA, 229 nt
Filed under: plant metagenome
Description: partial contains small subunit ribosomal RNA, internal transcribed spacer 1, and 5.8S ribosomal RNA
Source: RNAcentral